RNAcentral lists this long non-coding RNA (1050 nucleotides) under Dromaius novaehollandiae (emu). RNAcentral describes it as "lncRNA (ENSDNVG00000010136.1)". Lineage: Eukaryota; Metazoa; Chordata; Aves; Casuariiformes; Dromaiidae. The record is from RNAcentral.
GGGCUCGCGAGGCGGCCGCUCUAUGGUCGGCGCCGCUCCUCGUUCCCCUAGGCGAGCCGCCGCGGCCAUAGAGGCGCGGCGGUGGCUAGAGCGGCAGCUGUCGCCGUGGCAACGCGGCCUGCCGGAGGUAYUUAUUGGUUUAAUGUUGAUAGUGGGUGUCAGCCACAUGUAGGGAACAGGUAACCUGGUAGGUGGUUAGGGGAGAGUGAAGGGGGUUUUUGCACAGAAGAGAAACUUGUGUGUUAUGGUGCAGGUGGUUAACUAUUUGCAGCCUCCAAAUGCAGAUAAUACGAGCAGAUAUGUGAUGUCUGGGUCUCCAGGGCCUGUGGUCAGUGUGGCGGUGCGCAGACAGGUGUCUGGGUGCCUCCACUGUGCUCCUGUGCUGUCCAUCCUGAACCAGCCCGCCCUUUGGGAUGCAGUUUGCAGGGUCUUCUCCAAGUGUGACAGAACAGCCAAGAGCUCCUUCUUUGCCACUGUCCACGUGAGGUUCCUCUCCGCAUUUCACAGCCAGCAGAGUAAUCCCUUUGACUUUUGUAUAGGCCUUUCUGUCUGACAACAUGUCCCUGCAUCUUUUGGACGUGCUGACACAAGUGCUCCAAUUGCCAGUACAUCAGAACCUCRCUUGCAUCCUGGACCAGCCGCAGAAGACGCUCCCGGCUCUCUCGCUUGGUCGCGUGAAUCACGGGGCGGACGUCACGGGACAGCAGCGACCUGCAGCAUCUCCGGCACGCGCUGUGCUUCCGAGGAGAAGGGGUGACACGUUUGUGUGAGCAGUGUGAGCGCGAUGCUCUGCGGCAUCCUUCCAAGAUGUGCCCUUUGUUUCCUCGCUGGCACUCGCAUAAUGAAAUCUCAUAUUCUGCUGAAAGCUAAUUACACAAGGGUUAAUUGGGAUCUCCAGUGUGGGUGUCCCGGAAGUAUGAUGUUAGACAAAAAUACCUGGCAAAGGGUUUUGAAACAAUUGAGUAAUUUUUCAUUGAAUUGAUCUAAUUUUACUGGAGAUUGACAUUGUCCUUCUGUUUUUCUUCACUGGUACCCAAGCAGAGCGGGUAU